CGCGGCCUAUCAGCUUGUUGGUGAGGUAACGGCUCACCAAGGCAACGACGGGUAGCUGGUCUGAGAGGACGAUCAGCCACACUGGGACUGAGACACGGCCCAGACUCCUACGGGAGGCAGCAGUAGGGAAUAUUGCGCAAUGGACGAAAGUCUGACGCAGCAACGCCGCGUGAGGGAUGAAGUACAUCGAGAUGUAAACCUCUUUCAGCAGGGACGAAGCUAACGUGACGGUACCUGCAGAAGAAGCACCGGCUAACUACGUGCCAGCAGCCGCGGUAAUACGUAGGGUGCAAGCGUUGUCCGGAUUUAUUGGGCGUAAAGGGCUCGUAGGCGGUCUGUCGCGUCGGAUGUGAAAACUCGGAGCUUAACUCCGGGCCUGCAUUCGAUACGGGCAGACUAGAGUUCGGUAGGGGAGACUGGAAUUUCUGGUGUAGCGGUGGAAUGCGCAGAUAUCAGGAAGAACACCGAUGGCGAAGGCAGGUCUCUGGGCCGACACUGACGCUGAGGAGCGAAAGCAUGGGGAGCGAACAGGAUUAGAUACCCCGGUAGUCCAUGCCGUAAACGGUGGGCGCUAGGUGUGGGGAAUAAUCUACAUUCUCCGCGCCGCAGCUAACGCAUUAAGCGCCCCGCCUGGGGAGUACGG
This 643-nucleotide ribosomal RNA is filed under the name uncultured bacterium. RNAcentral describes it as "bacterial SSU rRNA". It matches the Rfam family "Bacterial small subunit ribosomal RNA", at positions 232 to 885 of the family's 1533-position model. The record is from RNAcentral.